Molecule: ribosomal RNA, 253 nt
Filed under: uncultured bacterium
Lineage: Bacteria
Description: partial 16S ribosomal RNA
Rfam family: Bacterial small subunit ribosomal RNA
Source: RNAcentral
UACGUAGGGUGCGAGCGCUAAUCGGAAUUACUGGGCGUAAAGCGUGCGCAGGCGGUUCUCCAAGUCCGUUGUGAAAGCCCCGGGCUCAACCUGGGAAUGGCAGUGGAAACUAGGGGACUGGAAUCUGGCAGAGGGGGGUGGAAUGCCGCGUGUAGCAGUGAAAUGCGUAGAGAUGCGGCGGAACACCGAUGGCGAAGGCAGCCCCCUGGGCUGAGAUUGACGCUCAGGCACGAAAGCGUGGGGAGCAAACAGG